GAAUUGGUAGUUCAGUGGUAGAACUCUCCCCUUCCAUGCAGGAGACCCAGGUUCAAUUCCCAGCCAAUACA
Transfer RNA from Loxodonta africana (African savanna elephant), 71 nucleotides. It matches the Rfam family "tRNA". From Rfam's summary of the family: Transfer RNA (tRNA) molecules are approximately 80 nucleotides in length. Lineage: Eukaryota; Metazoa; Chordata; Mammalia; Proboscidea; Elephantidae. The record is from Rfam.